Molecule: ribosomal RNA, 435 nt
Filed under: uncultured bacterium
Lineage: Bacteria
Description: bacterial SSU rRNA
Rfam family: Bacterial small subunit ribosomal RNA
Source: RNAcentral
GGGGAAUCUUGCGCAAUGGCCGAAAGGCUGACGCAGCGACGCCGCGUGGGGGAGGAAGGGCUUCGGCUCGUAAACCCCUGUUGCCCGGGGCGAACAUCCUGUUUCGACAGGACUGACGGUACCGGGUGAGGAAGCACCGGCUAACUCCGUGCCAGCAGCCGCGGUAAUACGGAGGGUGCGAGCGUUGUCCGGAAUCACUGGGCGUAAAGGGCGCGUAGGUGGCCGAGCAAGGUCGCGGUGAAAGCCCGGGGCUCAACCCCGGGUCGGCCGUGGCAACUACUUGGCUGGAGCACUGUAGGGGCGGGUGGAAUUCCGGGUGUAGCGGUGGAAUGCGUAGAGAUCCGGAAGAACACCGGUGGCGAAGGCGGCCCGCUGGGCAGGAAGGGGGAGCAAUCCUCCGGCUGACACUGAGGCGCGACAGCGUGGGGAGCAAAC